Molecule: ribosomal RNA, 837 nt
Filed under: uncultured fungus
Lineage: Eukaryota; Fungi
Description: SSU rRNA
Rfam family: Eukaryotic small subunit ribosomal RNA
Source: RNAcentral
GUGCCAGCAGCCGCGGAAUUCCAGCUCCAAUAGCGUAUAUUAAAGUUGUUGUGGUUAAAAAGCUCGUAGUUGAACCUUGGGCCUGGCUGGCCGGUCCGCCUCACCGCGUGCACUGGUCCGGCCGGGCCUUUCCCUCUGUGGAACCCCAUACCCUUCACUGGGCGUGGCGGGGAAACAGGACAUUUACUUUGAAAAAAUUAGAGUGCUCCAGGCAGGCCUAUGCUCGAAUACAUUAGCAUGGAAUAAUAAAAUAGGACGCGCGGUUCUAUUUUGUUGGUUUAUAGGACCGCCGUAAUGAUUAAUAGGGACAGUCGGGGGCAUCAGUAUUCAACUGUCAGAGGUGAAAUUCUUGGAUCAGUUGAAGACUAACUACUGCGAAAGCAUUUGCCAAGGAUGUUUUCAUUAAUCAGGAACGAAAGUUAGGGGAUCGAAGACGAUCAGAUACCGUCGUAGUCUUAACCAUAAACUAUGCCGACUAGGGAUCGGGACGGUGUUAUUCAUGACCCGUUCGGCACCUUACGAGAAAUCAAAGUGCUUGGGCUCCAGGGGGAGUAUGGCGCAAGGCUGAAACUUAAGAAAUUGACGGAAGGGCACCACCAGGGUGGAGCCUGCGCUUAAUUUGACUCAACACGGGAAACUCACCAGGUCAAGACACUAUAGGGAUGACAGAUUGAGAGCUCUUUCUUGAUUUGGUGGGUGGGGGUGCAUGGCCGUUCUAAGUUGUGGGGUGACUGUCUGCAUAAUUGCGAUAACGAACGAAGACCUUAACCUAGCUAAAAAGCCCCGCAUGGCUCCCGGCAGUGGCGCUGGCUUUCUUAAGAAGGGAUAUUCGCCUCG